RNAcentral lists this small nuclear RNA (296 nucleotides) under Tupaia belangeri chinensis (Chinese tree shrew). RNAcentral's name for it is "Tupaia chinensis (Chinese tree shrew) 7SK RNA". It matches the Rfam family "7SK RNA". Rfam says of the family: 7SK was discovered as an abundant small nuclear RNA in the mid-70s but a possible function has only recently been suggested. The record is from Rfam by way of RNAcentral. Lineage: Eukaryota; Metazoa; Chordata; Mammalia; Scandentia; Tupaiidae.
GGAUGUGAGGGCGAUCUGUCUAUGACAUCUGUCACCCCAUUGAUCGCCAGGGUUGAUUCGGCUGAUGGGCUGGCUAGGCGAGUGUCACCUUCCUCCCUCACUCAUCCGUGUGUGCGUCCCCACUGAAGCUGUGCACUUGGCCAUCCUGGAUAGAGGAGGACUGUUCUUUGGUCAAGGGUAUACAAGUAGCCGAGCUCGCCUGCUAGAACCUCCAAACAAGCUCUCAGGCACACAGACAAGAUAAAACCAAAAUGGAGUCACAGAGGCUGUUUUCACAGCCAAGAGCUGGCAGUGUU